This 234-nucleotide long non-coding RNA is filed under the name Medicago truncatula (barrel medic). Its description in RNAcentral is "lncRNA gene9680". The record is from RNAcentral. Lineage: Eukaryota; Viridiplantae; Streptophyta; Magnoliopsida; Fabales; Fabaceae.
GAUGAUGGAGGCUCCCUGGUGCUAUUUUUCUUAUUGAGGAUACCGUCACUCUAGCUGGCAGUUAAUAUUUGACCAUGUCUCCGACUUAAGCUUUAACGUUUUUACUAUAUCUUAAGUUUUCACUGUGUGUGUGUAAAAUUCAUAAGAAUUUUCUCAACGCCUUUAUAAAAAUAUGGCUAAAAUAUGAUGUCCACUCUUGACCCUUAACAGGUGUCCAAAGGAUGCUUGCUUGUU